This is a long non-coding RNA of Carlito syrichta (Philippine tarsier), 228 nucleotides long. RefSeq lists it as uncharacterized. The transcript has 4 exons. Lineage: Eukaryota; Metazoa; Chordata; Mammalia; Primates; Tarsiidae. The record is from RefSeq and is a predicted model, not a curated record.
AGGGAGGAGCAGAACAUAACAUUCCAGUUGUCAUUUCAAAAAUCUCCAAGGAGCAAAGAGCGGAACUUUCUGGACUGCUCUUUAUUGGGGAUGCAAUUCUACAGAUAAAUGGAAUCAAUGUGAGAAAAUGCAGACAUGAAGAAGUGGUUCAGGUUCUUCGGAAUGCUGGUGAAGAAGUGACCCUAACCGUGUCAUUUUUAAAAAGAGCACCUGCUUUCCUCAAACUUC